Long non-coding RNA from Equus caballus (horse), 2189 nucleotides. The record is from Ensembl. NCBI's taxonomy places the organism in Eukaryota, Metazoa, Chordata, Mammalia, Perissodactyla, Equidae.
UCAAAUUCCAGAAGUUCUCUUUUUGUUCUCUAACAUAUUUUCUCCUAAAAAAAAUAGCAUCCAGUUUCAUGUCAUGGUUGCAGUGUCUGAGGAUAUUAAUAACUUUUUUUUUUGAUGUUUCUUCCAGCUUGGUCUCAAUUAUUUCAACUUUGUUUUUUCCGUCUUGUUUUGGUCUCUGCUUUUUAUGUUAGACAUUUUGCUCAUAUUUCCAGUAAUCUUUGGUUGUCUACUUACGUUUAAGAUGGGGAGCAAUGGAGCUGAUGGGGUCUCUGAGCCCUUGCUGACUGUGAACUUCAAUGGACAGUGAUCCAGCAGGGCCUAUUUUUGGAGGCAUCCCUGCCGUUGGUCAGAGUUUCUGGAGAGUAUUCUUCCCAAUUCCUGCCUGAAGGAUUAAAGUUGGCCUACCAGUGCUUAGGAGCUACAAAGGGAAAAGAGCUGGACCGUUUCACCAUUCAGCCCUCCCCUCUCACCCUCCACCUCUAGAAGUACCUGGUGCCAUCAAUUCCUGAGCCUUUUGAAGAUUCUGUGCUGUACAUCUGGGUGGCUCUUGGCUUUCCUCACUGUCUGGUUAGUAUUUGACUUUCUCAGGGAGGCUGAGAUAAGUACUACUAUCUCGUCUGCUUUCCAGUUACUGCAAUUUGUUGCUUUCCACUAUUCUUCUCAUGUUCCUGUUCUUCUAGAUUUAGAGCUUAAAAAUUCCUUUUCCUGUAGUUUUUGUGGAGACUCAGGAGGGAAUGAAAUCAGGUAUGUUUGUGCAAUAUGCCAUCUUUAGGAGACACAGGACGUUUCAGAUAAAAAGAUCCUCAGAACACACUUUUCUUGCCCUGUCUCUGCCCAUAGCCAGAUGUCCUGCUCCCUUCCCUUCUCUAGGCCUCUGAGUAUCUUCUUUUAACCUUCUCUUUGUUCAGAUGAAAUGAUUAACACUGGGGAACUCUGUGCGGUUCUCACAAACCCCUGCUGAUAUGGGUUGUGGCCCUGGAUGGGAACCAAGACCAUGGAGGCUGGGGGAGGAAGGGAAGGGCCAUGUGAGGGGUUUUUAAAAUGUGGGAAAAAGAGAAGACAGCAGGAACUGUCUGUGCCUGAGUGUUGAAGUUGUCCUGGCGUGCUAAAGCCGGUGGUACGAUGUCAGCACAUGACGAGGAAAGCUUUCUAAAUAAGGCCUCCUAAUGAGGCUAAGUUCAGUGGUGGCCAAGCUGAAAGACCUGGGGCUCAGCAAGGCCAGCCCCUCCAUGUCCUGAUGGGGAGACUGGGGCCUGCAGGGGGCAGCAUGUUCCUCCAAUGCACCUGACAAUGCUAAGGGGCUGUGUGGGUGGAGACCUCCAGGAAGCUGACCAUGAGACAAUGAUAGGAUUGCAUGAGGUUUAUUGGGGGACAACGUCUGUGACAGAUAAAACCAUGAGGAAGCAGGAUUGGGCAGUGAAAAUCUUCACAAGUAGAUCUGACAAAGUUUCUGUCAGCCCAACCAAGAGCUCCAGAGCAAAGAUGGCUUCUUAGAGGAGUUGUGUUGGACAGACGUGGCCAGGCCAUAGUACCCCCACAUUGCUCAGUCAUUGGCUGUUGGGGGAGAGUGUUGCCUCAGAUCAAAAGUGAGAUGGAUCCUAAAAGCACCAACAGCUGGAAGCUGCCAGGGGCAGCACUAUUUGCAGCAGAAUGGUGAGCUCUUUCUUGAAGGGAGAACCAGGAUACAUCUCCAUGGCUCAUGGGCGUGGGGGAGAGAAGAGGCACCAGGAGCUAGCCUCACAAUCCUCACCUCCCUGAUUACCUGAGCAGGAGGCAGACUUCCCAAAGCCCUGCAUGUUCCUUUUCAGGACUGAGACAGCAUCAUGCAAAGGCUUAAGGACCUUUCAACAUGGUGAGGGGGAUAUUCCUGCUUAUCUGAUUGAUGAUCCUACUUCACAUUGCUGGUAUUUCCCCUCAGACAGACCAUUGCCCAAGUUCAAGACAGCUUUCAUGGAGGUCUUGGAAAUACUAGCCAAGAAAAGAUUUUCUAGCAGGCCUGCCAAGGAAAUGAGGCAGGGUCUGGGAGGGAAAGGGCCUCAAGGGAUAAAUGAUCCUUGUAAUAAUUUCCAGUGGCAAAACGUACUGUGUGCCAGGAAGCUUACAUCUAUAUAUAUCUCUCUAUAUCUAUGUCUAUCUGUCUAUUUAUAUCUCUACCUGUCAUCUCCAUUUUACAUAUAUAUCAUCUCCAC